GGCUUUGCUUUUCAGUGUCUGCUUUCCAGUUUUGGAUCAGUGAGCUCUACAGCUGCAUGCUUUGACUGCCGGAAAAUUAAUCUUGCUUCGUCAAGUCUUUCACUUUACUUUCUCCUGUACUUAUAAUCAGAAAUUAGCUUUGAUGUGCAGUGACAGUGGAUUUCCUCUUGAACUGCUGGUGAAAACAGUCUAGUUCACAGGUGCUGUCAACCCAGUGUGGGAGCAGGGAAUGAUUGCCGGGUUGGGGAGUACAAGAGUAUACCUUCAGGAAAGGGAUGCAGCGUACCUCUUACUUCUGAGUCCUCCCUCUCUGCAGAUGGAGACUCUUGGGGAAGCUGACUUUUUCCCUCAAACUCUCCUAGACCUUCCUUCUUGCUGCCCUUGGAGACAGCCAGUCCACUGAGUUGUCACCCUCUUUUCAUCCUUCUGCCUAUGACCAGCCACAUGGACAGGCUGGGGAAUUCACAUACUUGGGCAGUAACCAGCAAGUUUUUAUCCAGUAAUGCCUCAAGG
This 513-nucleotide long non-coding RNA is filed under the name Androctonus crassicauda. Lineage: Eukaryota; Metazoa; Arthropoda; Arachnida; Scorpiones; Buthidae. The record is from RNAcentral.